This 254-nucleotide ribosomal RNA is filed under the name uncultured bacterium. RNAcentral describes it as "partial 16S ribosomal RNA". It matches the Rfam family "Bacterial small subunit ribosomal RNA", at positions 524 to 776 of the family's 1533-position model. The record is from RNAcentral.
UACGUAGGGUGCUAGCGUUGUCCGGAAUCAUUGGGCGUAAAGCGCGUGUAGGCGGUCCGGUAAGUCCGCUGUGAAAGUCGAGGGCUCAACCCUCGAAUGCCGGUGGAUACUGUCGGGCUAGAGUGCGGAAGAGGCGAGUGGAAUUCCUGGUGUAGCGGUGAAAUGCGCAGAUAUCAGUAGGAACACCGGUGGCGAAGGCGGCAUCUUGGACCAACACUGACGCUGAGUGAGCGAAAGCCAGGGGAGCAAACGGG